GGGAAUCUACCCAGUUCUACGGAACAACAGUUGGAAACGACUGCUAAUACCGUAUACGCCCUACGGGGGAAAGAUUUAUCGGAAUUGGAUGAGCCCGCGUAAGAUUAGCUAGUUGGUGGGGUAAUGGCCUACCAAGGCGACGAUCUUUAGCUGGUCUGAGAGGAUGAUCAGCCACACUGGGACUGAGACACGGCCCAGACUCCUACGGGAGGCAGCAGUGGGGAAUAUUGGACAAUGGGCGCAAGCCUGAUCCAGCCAUGCCGCGUGAGUGAUGAAGGCCUUAGGGUUGUAAAGCUCUUUCAGUGGGGAAGAUAAUGACGGUACCCACAGAAGAAGCCCCGGCUAACUUCGUGCCAGCAGCCGCGGUAAUACGAAGGGGGCUAGCGUUGUUCGGAUUUACUGGGCGUAAAGCGCACGUAGGCGGAUAUUUAAGUCAGGGGUGAAAUCCCAGAGCUCAACUCUGGAACUGCCUUUGAUACUGGGUAUCUUGAGUAUGGAAGAGGUAAGUGGAAUUGCGAGU
Molecule: ribosomal RNA, 520 nt
Filed under: uncultured bacterium
Lineage: Bacteria
Description: bacterial SSU rRNA
Rfam family: Bacterial small subunit ribosomal RNA
Source: RNAcentral